UUUUGAUAUACAAACUACAGAGUUACCAUUAAAUCUAUUUUUCGAAAGUCUAGCUACUAUAUAGAUUACACGGUGGAUUACUGAUCUUUUUACGUUGAAUCUGUGGAAAGUUAGUAGUUUCCACCUUGUCAUUCAACUUGCAAGUAGAUUUAUCAUUGAAGUUUCUGACCUCCAAUUGUGCUUGUAUCCAUUUCUUAAUAUCUGCAAACUUGACAUCACUUGAAGACGCUGCAUCUGCAAGCACAACAAAGGAAUUGCAUAACUCGUUGUAUCGCUUCUGUUUGGGAGUUAAUUUCCAAGCAUCGGAAUUGACUUCUAUAUCUGUGUGGAUUCAUUUCACAUCCUUUCGUCACCUCUUUAGAAGGUGGAGAUUCAUUAUUACUUUUAAGAUCAGUAGUUUCGAGACGAGCAUUUUCAGGAGUACUUUCAAGAAAAUCUUUUUCCUCCUCCUUUGGCUUUGGUAUCCAUUUUUCUUCUUGUAUGUGAUCCGUUAUCACUGGGGAAUCACCAAAAACAUUAAUCACUUCACAACAUGUCUUCUUUAUUAACUCCUUUUGAAACUCGAGGAACUUUUCAUUAGUGUAAAUGCUUCGAACCUGUUUUUCCAUUUCAUAAUGAGUUUUGUUUGGGUUAUAGUAAAAAAUGACUUUGCAUCUGCCUUGAGCUCCUUCUUUAUUUUAUCUCUUAAUGCACCUUCGUAUUUCUCGACAAAUUCUUUCAAUGAUGUAACUUAUCAAAAAAUGAUUUCAUACUUUCUGAACGUUGAGUAGUCGACAUUCCUGCCCAAAAAUAUGUCUUCACGAAACAAGUAACCCAUCGUUCUCUGUCUUUAUACAGGUCACUCAACCAUUUACUCUUUCCCAAACUUUUAUACCUCUGAAACAUUUCACCCCAACCCUUUUCAAAAUCAGUUGGACUUUGU
This is a long non-coding RNA of Papaver somniferum (opium poppy), 922 nucleotides long. RefSeq lists it as uncharacterized. The transcript has 3 exons. The record is from RefSeq and is a predicted model, not a curated record. Lineage: Eukaryota; Viridiplantae; Streptophyta; Magnoliopsida; Ranunculales; Papaveraceae.